This 425-nucleotide ribosomal RNA is filed under the name uncultured Lactobacillus sp. RNAcentral describes it as "bacterial SSU rRNA". It matches the Rfam family "Bacterial small subunit ribosomal RNA", at positions 28 to 429 of the family's 1533-position model. Lineage: Bacteria; Bacillati; Bacillota; Bacilli; Lactobacillales; Lactobacillaceae. The record is from RNAcentral.
GACGAACGCUGGCGGCGUGCCUAAUACAUGCAAGUCGAGCGAGCGGAACCAACAGGCUUACUUCGGUAAUGACGUUGGGAAAGCGAGCGGCGGAUGGGUGAGUAACACGUGGGGAACCUGCCCUAAGUCUGGGAUACCAUUUGGAAACAGGUGCUAAUACCGGAUAAUAAAGCAGAUCGCAUGAUCAGCUUUUGAAAGGCGGCGUAAGCUGUCGCUAAGGGAUGGCCCCGCGGUGCAUUAGCUAGUUGGUAAGGUAACGGCUUACCAAGGCGACGAUGCAUAGCCGAGUUGAGAGACUGAUCGGCCACAUUGGGACUGAGACACGGCCCAGACUCCUACGGGAGGCAGCAGUGGGGAAUAUUGCACAAUGGGGGAAACCCUGAUGCAGCAACGCCGCGUGAGUGAUGACGGCCUCGGGUUGUAAG